RNAcentral lists this ribosomal RNA (486 nucleotides) under uncultured bacterium. RNAcentral's name for it is "bacterial SSU rRNA". It matches the Rfam family "Bacterial small subunit ribosomal RNA", at positions 28 to 507 of the family's 1533-position model. The record is from RNAcentral.
GAUAAACGCUGGCGGCGUGCCUAAUACAUGCAAGUCGAACGAGGAAGACCCAGCUUGCUGGGUUGACCGAGUGGCGAACGGGUGAGUAAUACAUAAGCAACCUGCCCACGGAGACCGGGAUAAUCUCUGGAAACGGGGACUAAAACCGGAUAGGCAGCAAUGAGGCAUCUCAAUGCUGUUAAAGGUGAGAGACACUGGUGGAUGGGCUUAUGGCGCAUUAGUUAGUUGGUGAGGUAAGGGCCCACCAAGACGAUGAUGCGUAGCCGGCCUGAGAGGGUGAACGGCCACAUUGGGACUGAGACACGGCCCAGACUCCUACGGGAGGCAGCAGUAGGGAAUUUUCGGCAAUGGGGGGAACCCUGACCGAGCAACGCCGCGUGAGUGAAGAAGGUCUUCGGAUUGUAAAGCUCUGUUGUAAGGGAAGAACGUCAGGCAGAGGAUGCUUGAGUGACGGUACCUUACCAGAAAGCCACGGCUAACUACGUG